This 580-nucleotide ribosomal RNA is filed under the name Lachnospiraceae bacterium YSD2013. RNAcentral's name for it is "bacterial LSU rRNA". It matches the Rfam family "Bacterial large subunit ribosomal RNA", at positions 1568 to 2163 of the family's 2925-position model. Lineage: Bacteria; Bacillati; Bacillota; Clostridia; Lachnospirales; Lachnospiraceae. The record is from RNAcentral.
GCGGAGCGAAAUCAAGUAGCGAAGCGUGUCAGCCAUGUGCCGAGAAAAGCCGCUAUAGCGUAUAUGGUACCCGUACCGUAAACCGACACAGGUGGAUGAGGAGAGAAUCCUAAGGCCGACGGAAGAAGCAUUGUUAAGGAACUCGGCAAAAUGACCCCGUAACUUCGGGAGAAGGGGUGCCACUGAGAAGUGGUCGCAGAGAAUAGGCUCAAGCAACUGUUUAGCAAAAACACAGGUCUAUGCAAAACCGAAAGGUGAAGUAUAUGGGCUGACGCCUGCCCGGUGCUGGAAGGUUAAGAGGAGAGGUUAGCGCAAGCGAAGCUUUGAAUUUAAGCCCCAGUAAACGGCGGCCGUAACUAUAACGGUCCUAAGGUAGCGAAAUUCCUUGUCGGGUAAGUUCCGACCCGCACGAAAGGCGUAAUGAUUUGAGCACUGUCUCGACAAUGCAUCCGGUGAAAUUGAAGUACCAGUGAAGAUGCUGGUUACCUGCGCCAGGACGGAAAGACCCCAUGGAGCUUUACUCUAGCUUGAUACUGGGAUUCGAUGCUGUAUGUACAGGAUAGGUGGGAGACUAAGAAAU